UGCUACUUCUAAGAUGGGGAUGUUAAGAGCAGUCAGUAUGAGUUAACCCAUCUGUAAUUUCUUCACUAAUUUCAAGAGGAAAUGUAUUUGGAGAAUAAAUGUAUCUGCAGUAGACUAAACCUGGUCAUUGUGUCAUGUAUAAACCUGUAGUUUUAGAAGUCUUAAACUACAAACUGCAGAAAUGUACAGCAGACCACAAACUAUAGAGAGAAUUCAAAUAAGAUUGGCAGUUGUGUAUGUAAAUUGUACUUCAUCUGUUAAAAGGCAUGGUUCACACUUUUGUGUAAUGCUUGUUGUACCCAGAGGUGGCGCUGUCAAAACAGUCUUGCUUUUGAACAGAACUAUUUCCUUAUUCAUAACUGGGACCACACCUCGCACCUUCAGUUAAAGUUCUCAAGGACUUUGCUUCAUGUAGGGGGGUGGGGGAAAUAAAACAAAAAAGAAGCCCCUGAAAACGUUUACAUAUGAAGAGAAGGUGAUAUCAAGGGAAGGCACAAGUAAUACAGAUCUGCAAUAAAACCAGAACUUGGUCCCGUCAAUCUGAAGUCGGUUUCUUUUAAAUUUCAGUUCCAUUUCUGGACCAGUGGAUUGUACACAUGGAGUGAAACAGAAGAAACCAAACUUCUUUUCUUUGGCACAAUCUGAUAGCCAUAGGAAGAGUGGAUUACUGGAGUUUUAGCAACUCAUUUGUAAAGUGUGAGAUCUUGAAAGGCUACUAUAACCAUGAGUGAUUUUUGGCAUAAGCUGAACUGCUGUAUGGUGGAGAAAGCUCCCCCG
Protopterus annectens (West African lungfish) is the source of this 777-nucleotide long non-coding RNA. RefSeq lists it as uncharacterized. The transcript is spliced from 2 exons. Lineage: Eukaryota; Metazoa; Chordata; Ceratodontiformes; Protopteridae. The record is from RefSeq and is a predicted model, not a curated record.